Molecule: ribosomal RNA, 253 nt
Filed under: uncultured bacterium
Lineage: Bacteria
Description: partial 16S ribosomal RNA
Rfam family: Bacterial small subunit ribosomal RNA
Source: RNAcentral
UACGUAGGGCGCAAGCGUUGUCCGGAAUUAUUGGGCGUAAAGAGCUCGUAGGCGGUUUGUCGCGUCUGCUGUGAAAACCUAAGGCUCAACCUUGGGCUUGCAGUGGGUACGGGCAGACUAGAGUGCGGUAGGGGUGACUGGAAUUCCUGGUGUAGCGGUGGAAUGCGCAGAUAUCAGGGGGAACACCGAUGGCGAAGGCAGGUCUCUGGGCUGUUACUGACGCUGAGGAGCGAAAGCAUGGGGAGCGAACAGG